UAACACGUGGGCAAUCUGCCCUUCACUCUGGGACAAGCCCUGGAAACGGGGUCUAAUACCGGAUACGACACUCUCGGGCAUCUGGUGAGUGUGGAAAGCUCCGGCGGUGAAGGAUGAGCCCGCGGCCUAUCAGCUUGUUGGUGAGGUAACGGCUCACCAAGGCGACGACGGGUAGCCGGCCUGAGAGGGCGACCGGCCACACUGGGACUGAGACACGGCCCAGACUCCUACGGGAGGCAGCAGUGGGGAAUAUUGCACAAUGGGCGGAAGCCUGAUGCAGCGACGCCGCGUGAGGGAUGACGGCCUUCGGGUUGUAAACCUCUUUCAGCAGGGAAGAAGCGCAAGUGACGGUACCUGCAGAAGAAGCGCCGGCUAACUACGUGCCAGCAGCCGCGGUAAUACGUAGGGCGCGAGCGUUGUCCGGAAUUAUUGGGCGUAAAGAGCUCGUAGGCGGUCUGUCGCGUCGGAUGUGAAAGCCCGGGGCUUAACCCCGGGUCUGCAUUCGAUACGGGCAGACUAGAGUGUGGUAGGGGAGAUCGGAAUUCCUGGUGUAGCGGUGAAAUGCGCAGAUAUCAGGAGGAACACCGGUGGCGAAGGCAGAUCUCUGGGCCAUUACUGACGCUGAGGAGCGAAAGCGUGGGGAGCGAACAGGAUUAGAUACCCUGGUAGUCCACGCCGUAAACGGUGGGAACUAGGUGUUGGCGACAUUCCACGUCGUCGGUGCCGCAGCUAACGCAUUAAGUUCCCCGCCUGGCGAAUACGGCCGCAAGGCUAAAACUCAGAGGAAUUGACGGGGGCCCGCACAAGCAGCGGAGCAUGUGGCUUAAUUCGACGCAACGCGAAGAACCUUACCAAGGCUUGACAUACGCCGGAAACGGCCAGAGAUGGUCGCCCCCCUUGUGGUCGGUGUACAGGUGGUGCAUGGCUGUCGUCAGCUCCUGUCGUGAGAAGUUUGGGUUAAUUCCCGCCAACGA
Molecule: ribosomal RNA, 974 nt
Filed under: Streptomyces sp.
Lineage: Bacteria; Bacillati; Actinomycetota; Actinomycetes; Kitasatosporales; Streptomycetaceae
Description: bacterial SSU rRNA
Rfam family: Bacterial small subunit ribosomal RNA
Source: RNAcentral